AGUUUCAAAAACAAUAUAUAGAUCAUGUCAGCUCGAUAAAAUACAGCGUAUACGGCCAUUUUAGAGGCCAUGUUUACGUUUUGAAAAAGAACCGCGGAAAAAUUGUAUUUUUGCAUGUAGUUUUUUUCCUAGGUGUGAAACAUCCCCUAAAAAAUCGUACAAACUGAAAUCAAGUCAUAAUAUAUCAGAAAUUUUUUAAAAGAAGACAGACUUUUUCAUCAAAACAUAUUUUUUUAGCCUUGAAUUUCAACAUGUCAGCUCGACAAACUGCCGAGGAUGCGGCCAUGUUUACGUUUUGAAAAAGAACCGCGGAAAAAUUGUAUUUUUUGCAUGUAGUUUUUUUCCUAGGUGUGAAACAUCCCCUAAAAAAUUGUACAAACUGAAAUCGAGUCAUAAUAUAUCAUAAAUUUAUCAAAAGAAGACAGACUUUUUCGUCGAAACAUAUUUUUUUAGCCUUAAAUUUCAGCAUGUCAGCUCAGUCUAUUUCAUGUGUAGAUUUGGCAUGCACAUGUCAAAAACAAGGCCAAAAAAAUGUUUAAAAAUUAAAAAAGCCCAUUCUCAUUUGGUGAUUUUCAGAAAACUAGGUACUUAAAUUAUACAAAAACAUAAAAAUAAAACUAGUUUUCAUAUAUUGUGCAUGAAAUAUUUAAAAGUUAAAAAUUUUCCGUGCUUGUAAAACUGCGACAACAAACUAUCGCUUGCUUGUAUUUCAUGUGUAGAUUUGGCAUGCACAUGUCAAAAACAAGGCCAAAAAAAUGUUUAAAAAUUAAAAAAGCCCAUUCUCAUUUGGUGAUUUUCAGAAAACUAGGUACUUAAAUUAUACAAAAACAUCAAAAUAAAACUAGUUUUCAUAUAUUGUGCAUGAAAUAUUUAAAAGUUAAAAAGUUUCCGCGCUUGUAAAACUGCGACAACAAACUAUCGCUUGAAAAAAAAAACUUGCUGUUUUUUUCAAUUUAUGGCGCUUCAUCUGGUG
Paramuricea clavata is the source of this 973-nucleotide non-coding RNA. NCBI's taxonomy places the organism in Eukaryota, Metazoa, Cnidaria, Anthozoa, Malacalcyonacea, Plexauridae. The record is from the annotation of a GenBank genome assembly.